RNAcentral lists this ribosomal RNA (164 nucleotides) under uncultured bacterium. RNAcentral describes it as "partial 16S ribosomal RNA". It matches the Rfam family "Bacterial small subunit ribosomal RNA", at positions 355 to 511 of the family's 1533-position model. The record is from RNAcentral.
UAGGGAAUCUUCCACAAUGGGCGCAAGCCUGAUGGAGCAACGCCGCGUGUGUGAUGAAGGGUUUCGGCUCGUAAAACACUGUUGUAAGAGAAGAAUGACAUUGAGAGUAACUGUUCAAUGUGUGACGGUAUCUUACCAGAAAGCCACGGCUAACUACGUGUCAG